This 1149-nucleotide long non-coding RNA is filed under the name Cyanistes caeruleus (blue tit). RNAcentral describes it as "lncRNA (ENSCCEG00000022701.1)". Lineage: Eukaryota; Metazoa; Chordata; Aves; Passeriformes; Paridae. The record is from RNAcentral.
UGACAUCCUGGGCUAGAAAAGGCCAUGUCAGGGCCCCCAGACGGGAUCUGAGCCUCAGCACUUUCCCCCCCCCAGCAGAGGCCGUGUCAGUGACUCCUGAGUGCUGGAUCUUGCGUGUAACCCAACUUCUCAGCCCACACUGAGGAACUUGUGUCCCUGUUUACAAUUUACACCCUGGUGUAGCUGAGGACAGAGGAUUAGACCCCUCUGGACCUCACAGCACCUGCAGGAAAACAUUUCCAGGAGGAGCAGAACCUGGGUCCAGCGUGGCCGUGAAAGGCUCCUCAAGGUGCUGGUGGUCUCCAGACGUGGAGCUGCAUCUCCUCAGGGUCAGCAUGGGAGGCUGGGGCUGGUGCUGGGGUUUUUGGGCUGGUAAAUCAGAGCAGGCCCUGCUUGCUGGUGGUGUAGGUGGGUUGGGAAGUGGGACUGUGCUCUCAUGGGAGAAGCCUGAGGGCAAGGAGCUGGUGGUGGGACCUCACUUUCUGCUUUUGGUCCCAAAAAUGGAUCUGGAAAAGGACUGGAAGACAUGAAACCUCAUAUGUGGAGUUCAACCCCAAACCUACAAGAAAGGAUCACUGAUGGGGUCAUCCCCUUGGAGAGGGAUCCAGCCUUGGAUGGGGCUGGGACUGGCCUCCUGGGAAAGGGCCAAACACGGUUUUGGUGAGGAGGGAGAGCCCAGACAGAGCAGUCUCAGGGGAACAAACAGUGGGGGCCUCCUGGGAGUUCCCAGGACUCUGUUUUGGGCUGCAGGAUGAGGUCACUGUCAGUGGCUGGCAUGGGGGCUCAGGCCAGGAUCGUUUACAGAGGUGUGAACCAUUAACAAAUUAAUCAUCAGGGCCAGCAUAGCUGGAAGUUAUUUGCCUCCCUGGGCCCUAUAAAAGGAUGUGGAGGGCAUUUCUUGGGUUUGGGCCGCUGAGGAGGGAGUGUUCUGCCUUGUGGCUGUGUCUUGGACCUACUCCUGAGAUCCUGCUGCUCCCUGGGAUGCACCAAGAGAAGAGGCUCUGCUUUAAGCUGUGGGAGGAAUGUUUUCUGCUGAAUCCUGCUGUGGAAAUGUCUGAUGGCCACUCCUGGGAUGAGCAGCUGCGUCUGGCCUCUAAUCUUCAUCCUUGGCUGUGGAGAGGGCGAGGUCCCCGUGCUAAAGUUUCCUAG